Molecule: transfer RNA, 64 nt
Filed under: Tenebrionoidea sp. 16 KM-2017
Lineage: Eukaryota; Metazoa; Arthropoda; Insecta; Coleoptera
Description: tRNA-His
Source: RNAcentral
AUUUAAAUAGUUUAAUUAAAAUUUUGAUUUGUGGAGUCAGAGAUGUAUGAGUAUACUUUAAAUA